AAUUCUGUAAAUAGUCCAUGGUAUGUCCCACUGUUCCUUCGAGAACUUCUCUUUGGCUCCUAUGUUUGAAAAUCUGUGUUUUGCUCCAUUUAGCGGAAGCUACUUCAGCAUUCAGAGGACACCAUUCCUCACCAGUGUUUAAGAAGCAGUGCUGGCUAUUGGACAGAGAGUCAGCCCCUAUGCUGCACCCAGAAUAGUUUCAGUGGCAGCCUGUUGCCUUUCACGGAGCCCAACUCCCCGACUUUCAAAGAAGAAUGAGAGCACGGAUGGCUUGAGAAUUACCUGGAGAAUUCUAGAGAGAAGAAGCUCUAAGAUAUAAAGUUGUUUUGUAGGCCAUGAAGAAGCAGGGACUGGUCAAUGGAACUUCUACCCUUAAGACCCAUGGAGGCUAGUGAAAGAAACAAGUACUUAAGUGUUGGAAUUCACUAAUUUACAUUUCAAGCCUAUAGCUGGAUCCAGAGCUGCUUCCUGAUUGAAGGAAUUUCCACAAGCUUUUGAUGCUGGGUCUGCAGAUGACAAAGUUUGGACAUUUUAUUAGGCACUUGAGGAGCCGAGCCUCUUCUUUCACCUAAAUAAAAGGAAUUCCAACCCCUCCAAAGACAGACUUUGCUGGAUCCUGCAGCAAAGACCAGGACUUUCUCAGGAAGCCAUCUUGGAUUUGCUCAAAUGCUCAGAGGGGUGCUGAAGUGGGUUGCACAGAUGGACCAGGGUGGCUGGCUGAGUAAUCAUAACAAGUCAUGCCAUCAGAGUUUGGGAAGAAAGACACCAUCCCUUUUUUAUUGGCAGAGAGUUUCUAACUAAAGAAAUGCAGUCAAUCUUUGUAACAGCUGUCUUAUCCCUUGAUCUCAUUACUCCUUGUUAGCACAAACUAUUUGGGACAGUUAUAGUGAAAGUCCUGAUAAGGAGGAAGUGAUCACUUUCAAACUAAUCUAGUUUGUCUGUCAUGAGAUGAUGAUAAAUAAGGACGGUCUAACUAUUAUGUAAUCAGUAACAUUGAUUUGUAAUUGGAGAUAUAGUUUUAGUUCCUCCUUGACUAUCUCUCCCACUAGCCAGCACACAAACACACACACACACCUGCACACGCACAUGUGCACACACACAGAGAUAUUAACUAAAUUGA
Molecule: long non-coding RNA, 1120 nt
Organism: Canis lupus familiaris (dog)
Lineage: Eukaryota; Metazoa; Chordata; Mammalia; Carnivora; Canidae
Exons: 4
Source: RefSeq, a predicted model, not a curated record